This 277-nucleotide ribosomal RNA is filed under the name uncultured prokaryote. Its description in RNAcentral is "partial 16S ribosomal RNA". It matches the Rfam family "Bacterial small subunit ribosomal RNA", at positions 524 to 801 of the family's 1533-position model. The record is from RNAcentral.
UACGGAGGAUCCGAGCGUUAUCCGGAUUUAUUGGGUUUAAAGGGUGCGCAGGCGGGGGAUUAAGUCGGCGGUGAAAUUUUGCAGCUCAACUGUAAAAGUGCCUUCGAAACUGGUUUCCUUGAGUGUAGAUGAAGUAGGCGGAAUUUGUGGUGUAGCGGUGAAAUGCUUAGAUAUCACGAGGAACUCCGAUUGCGCAGGCAGCUUACUAAACUACUACUGACGCUCAGGCACGAAGGCGUGGGAUCAAACAGGAUUAGAUACCCCGGUAGUCCCUGAG